UACGAGGGGUGCAAGCGUUAUUCGGAAUGACUGGGCGUAAAGGGUGCGUAGACGGCACGUUAAGUCUUUUGUUAAAUACCUCAGCCUAACUGGGGGUCAGCGAAAGAAACUGGCGAGCUUGAGAUUGGAAGAGAGAAGUGGAAUUCUCGGAGUAGCGGUAAAAUGCGUAGAUCUCGAGAGGAACACCAAUGGCGAAGGCAGCUUCUUGGUCCAAAUCUGACGUUGAUGCACGAAAGCGUGGGGAGCAAACAGG
This 253-nucleotide ribosomal RNA is filed under the name uncultured bacterium. Its description in RNAcentral is "partial 16S ribosomal RNA". It matches the Rfam family "Bacterial small subunit ribosomal RNA", at positions 524 to 776 of the family's 1533-position model. The record is from RNAcentral.